This 253-nucleotide ribosomal RNA is filed under the name uncultured bacterium. RNAcentral's name for it is "partial 16S ribosomal RNA". It matches the Rfam family "Bacterial small subunit ribosomal RNA", at positions 524 to 776 of the family's 1533-position model. The record is from RNAcentral.
UACGGAGGGGGCUAGCGUUGUUCGGAAUUACUGGGCGUAAAGCGCGCGUAGGCGGACCUGCAAGUCGGGGGUGAAAGCCCGAGGCUCAACCUCGGAACUGCCUUCGAUACUGCGGGUCUCGAGUCCGGGAGAGGUGAGUGGAAUUCCUAGUGUAGAGGUGAAAUUCGUAGAUAUUAGGAAGAACACCAGUGGCGAAGGCGGCUCACUGGACCAUAACUGACGCUGAUGCACGAAAACUAGGGGAGCAAACAGG